This 253-nucleotide ribosomal RNA is filed under the name uncultured bacterium. Its description in RNAcentral is "partial 16S ribosomal RNA". It matches the Rfam family "Bacterial small subunit ribosomal RNA", at positions 524 to 776 of the family's 1533-position model. The record is from RNAcentral.
GACGAGGGAUCCUAGCGUUGCUCGGAAUCAUUGGGCGUAAAGCGGGUGUAGGUGGGUUUGCAAGUCAGAUGUGAAAGCCCUAGGCUUAACCUAGGAAGUGCAUUUGAUACUGCAGAUCUUGAGUGUGGGAGAGGAUAGUAGAAUUCCUGGUGUAGUGGUGAAAUACGUAGAUAUCAGGAGGAAUACCGGAGGCGAAGGCGGCUAUCUGGCCCAACACUGACACUGAGACCCGAAAGCGUGGGGAUCAAACAGG